GCAAAGUCAUCACGGCUCAUCACGGCCGCAAAAUCAUCACGGAUCAUCAGGGCCGCAAACUCAUCACGGCUAAGGGCCGCAAACUCAACACCAUCAGGGCUGCAAACUCAUCACAGCUAAGGGCCGCAAACUCAUCACAGCUAAGGGCUGCAAACUCAACACCAUUAGGGCCUCAAAUUCAUCACAGCCAAACGCUGCAAACUCAUCACAGCUAAGGGCUGCAAACUCAUCACAGCUCAUCAGGGCCUCAAACUCAUCACAGCUAAGGGCAGCAAACUCAACACCAUUAGGGCUGCAAACUCAUCAUGGCUCAUCAGGGCGGCAAACUCGUCACAGCUAAGGGCUGUAAACUCAAGAAAAAAGACUACCCCAAGAAAUAGACUACCCCAAGAAAAAUGCAGUGACAGUGACCAGCAAAAAUCAAAGAGAUCUGGUCACGGAAUGACUGCAAUGGAAUCGGAUGUCAUAAGGGAUUUGGGAUUUAGUAAAACAGACCCAGAGUCAAUGUCGGCGUCCACUCCUCUGCUUCAAACAGGGCCGGCCUGAGCCAUAAGCCAACUAUUUGGUGGCUUAGGGCCCCCAAGGGGUCCCCCCAUGAGCGGCGAUGUUAAUUGUAUUUAUUGGGUAUGGGGGGCACCGGAUGAUUUUUUUAUGGGGGCCCCAAAAAGGCUAGCGAACUAUUCGGUGGCCUUGGGCCCCCGAGGGCC
Molecule: long non-coding RNA, 707 nt
Organism: Engraulis encrasicolus (European anchovy)
Lineage: Eukaryota; Metazoa; Chordata; Actinopteri; Clupeiformes; Engraulidae
Exons: 3
Source: RefSeq, a predicted model, not a curated record